CCGCCCGUCACAUCACGAAAGUGAGUUGUACUAGAAGUCGACGCAGCUAACCGCAAGGGAGCACGUCGGCCCAAGGUAUGACCCGAUGAUUGGGGUG
This 97-nucleotide ribosomal RNA is filed under the name uncultured bacterium. RNAcentral's name for it is "partial 16S ribosomal RNA". The record is from RNAcentral.